AACGCAGCGAAGGGCGAUAGUUAAUGUGAAUUGCAGAAUUCAGUGAAUCAUCGAGUCUUUGAACGCACAUUGCGCCUUUUGGUAUUCCGAGAGGCACGCCUGUCUGAGCGUCAGUAAUACCUUCGGUUUGACGAUUUAUUGUCUCGCCGGCGUUGGCGGUUAAGGGGUUAACCUCCUAAUUCCGUUUAAACACUGACAGCGGGGUAAGUUUAGUAACACCUAUCGAUUAGUAGAAAUAUUUAUCGUUCAAGGAAGAUCUAAACUCCCGCAAUACAAAAUAUGGGGAAACCCCACACCAAUUUUGACCCCAGAUCAGACGAGGAUACCCGCUGAACUUAA
RNAcentral lists this ribosomal RNA (339 nucleotides) under uncultured fungus. RNAcentral's name for it is "eukaryotic LSU rRNA". The stretch from base 1 to 113 matches the Rfam family "5.8S ribosomal RNA", at positions 42 to 154 of the family's 154-position model. The record is from RNAcentral. Lineage: Eukaryota; Fungi.